GCGCCAGUAGCUCAGCUGGAUAGAGCAUCGGCCUUCUAAGCCGAGGGCCCCAGGUUCGAGUCCUGGCUGGCGUACCA
Molecule: transfer RNA, 77 nt
Filed under: Desulfuromonadales bacterium C00003107
Lineage: Bacteria; Pseudomonadati; Thermodesulfobacteriota; Desulfuromonadia; Desulfuromonadales
Description: tRNA-Arg
Rfam family: tRNA
About the family: Transfer RNA (tRNA) molecules are approximately 80 nucleotides in length. Their secondary structure includes four short double-helical elements and three loops (D, anti-codon, and T loops). Further hydrogen bonds mediate the characteristic L-shaped molecular structure. tRNAs have two regions of fundamental functional importance: the anti-codon, which is responsible for specific mRNA codon recognition, and the 3' end, to which the tRNAs corresponding amino acid is attached (by aminoacyl-tRNA synthetases). tRNAs cope with the degeneracy of the genetic code in two manners: having more than one tRNA (with a specific anti-codon) for a particular amino acid; and 'wobble' base-pairing, i.e. permitting non-standard base-pairing at the 3rd anti-codon position.
Source: RNAcentral